GCNCGUUACGAAUUCGCCCUUAGAGUUUGAUCAUGGCUCAGGAUGAACGCUAGCGGCAGGCUUAACACAUGCAAGUCGAGGGGCAGCAUGUCCAGCAAUGGAUGAUGGCGACCGGCGGAAGGGUGCGUAACGCGUGAGCAACAUGCCCUAUACAGGGAGAUACACCAGGGAAACUUGGUCUAACAUCCCAUAGCAUUCAUUGAAGGCAUCUUUAAUGAAUUAAAGCUUCGGUGGUAUAGGAUUGGCUCGCGUGACAUUAGCCAGAUGGUGAGGUAACGGCUCACCAUAGCAAUGAUGUCUAGGGGUUUUGAGAGGAAGGCCCCCCACACUGGGACUGAGACACGGCCCAGACUCCUACGGGAGGCAGCAGUGAGGAAUAUUGGACAAUGGAUGGAAAUCUGAUCCAGCCAUGCCGCGUGCAGGAAGACGGCCUUAUGGGUUGUAAACUGCUUUUAUACGGGAGCAAUAAGGGUUACGAGUAAUCCGAUGAGAGUACUGUAUGAAUAAGGAUCGGCUAACUCCGUGCCAGCAGCCGCGGUAAUACGGAGGAUCCGAGCGUUAUCCGGAAUUAUUGGGUUUAAAGGGUGCGUAGGCGGCCAUUUAAGUCAGCGGUGAAAUUUUGCAGCUUAACUGUAACAGUGCCGUUGAUACUGUUUGGCUAGGAUUUGGUUGUAGUGUGCGGAAUGUGUGGUGUAGCGGUGAAAUGCUUAGAUAUCACACAGAACACCGAUUGCGAAGGCAGCACACUAAGUCAUUAUUGACGCUGAGGCACGAAAGUGUGGGGAUCAAACAGGAUUAGAUACCCUGGUAGUCCACACUGUAAACGAUGAUAACUCGCUGUCGGCGAUAC
Molecule: ribosomal RNA, 850 nt
Filed under: uncultured bacterium
Lineage: Bacteria
Description: bacterial SSU rRNA
Rfam family: Bacterial small subunit ribosomal RNA
Source: RNAcentral